CCUACGGGAGGCAGCAGUAGGGAAUAUUGCUCAAUGGGGGAAACCCUGAAGCAGCAACGCCGCGUGGAGGAUGAAGGUUUUCGGAUUGUAAACUCCUUUUGUUAGAGAAGAUAAUGACGGUAUCUAACGAAUAAGCACCGGCUAACUCCGUGCCAGCAGCCGCGGGAAUACGGAGGGUGCAAGCGUUAUUCGGAAUCACGGGGCGUAAAGAGCGCGUAGGCGGGAUAGCAAGUCAGAUGUGAAAUCCUAUGGCUUAACCAUAGAGCUGCAUUUGAAACUGUUAUUCUAGAGUAUGGGAGAGGUAGGUGGAAUUCUUGGUGUAGGGGUAAAAUCCGUAGAGAUCAAGAGGAAUACUCAUUGCGAAGGCGACCUGCUAGAACAUAACUGACGCUGAUGCGCGAAAGCGUGGGGAGCAAACAGGAUUAGAUACCCUUGUAGUC
Molecule: ribosomal RNA, 440 nt
Filed under: uncultured bacterium
Lineage: Bacteria
Description: partial 16S ribosomal RNA
Rfam family: Bacterial small subunit ribosomal RNA
Source: RNAcentral